GAUGAACGCUAGCGGCAGGCCUAACACAUGCAAGUCGAGGGGUAGAAGGAGCUUGCUCCUUUGAGACCGGCGCACGGGUGCGUAACGCGUAUGCAAUCUACCUUGUACAGGGGAAUAGCCCAGAGAAAUUUGGAUUAAUGCCCCAUAGUAUAUAACCUUCGCAUGUUGGUUAUAUUAAAGUUCCAACGGUACAAGAUGAGCAUGCGUCCCAUUAGUUAGUUGGUAAGGUAACGGCUUACCAAGACGGUGAUGGGUAGGGGUCCUGAGGGGGAGAUCCCCCAGACGGGUACUGAGACACGGACCAGACUCCUACGGGAGGCAGCAGUGAGGAAGAGUGGGCAAUGGAAGAAAGACUGAACCAGCCAUGCCGCGUGCAGGAAGACGGUCCUAUGGAUUGUAAACUGCUUUUAGACAAGAAGAAACCCUCCCACGUGUGGGAGCUUGACGGUACUGUAGGAAUAAGGAUCGGCUAACUCCGUG
RNAcentral lists this ribosomal RNA (480 nucleotides) under uncultured bacterium. Its description in RNAcentral is "partial 16S ribosomal RNA". It matches the Rfam family "Bacterial small subunit ribosomal RNA", at positions 28 to 507 of the family's 1533-position model. The record is from RNAcentral.